This is a long non-coding RNA of Passer domesticus (house sparrow), 1068 nucleotides long. RefSeq lists it as uncharacterized. NCBI's taxonomy places the organism in Eukaryota, Metazoa, Chordata, Aves, Passeriformes, Passeridae. The transcript has 4 exons. The record is from RefSeq and is a predicted model, not a curated record.
GGAAGGUUACAGAUCAUAUGGAUAAGCACCUUGCAUAUGCAAUAUGUACACUGGAAACAAAGAGAAGAAGGACCAGCCACCUCUAUUACAAAAGUACAACCCAACGUUGCUAUAUAAACCAUCCACUGAGGAAGAAGUAGCAGAUUUUGAAUAGCAUAAAGUGGCCUCAUUCACCAGUGAACAAAGAGGGAAAAGAAACAAGGAAGAAAGACACUAAGUUAUCAUGACAAUGCUUAUGUACAACAAGGCAUGAAUUGCAGGAAAUAAGCAUGUCUAGAGUGCUGUGACCAGUUACCAGCUUCUACCAAUCAGCAGUGACAAUCAGUUUCCUGGAGGCCUGGCUUGACCACUGAGAGUUUAUUAGUCUGCUGUCUUACCUUUUCACGUGGAUGCCAGCCCAGCAUUUACAGUUUUAGGCCUGCCCUGCACCUACUUUUAUUAUCUCCCUUGGGCAGUGUGUUGAGAUCCACUCCACUGGCUGGAGCUCUCUGCCUCAUCACUUCACUGGUGUGCUCACUGGUCCUCACCAGCCCAGCUGGUGCCAUCUGAUGUCUGCAUGGUCUUAAACACUCUGAAAGCGUGAGGGAACUCAUCCGUGUGUGUUUUCCUCUAGUCUCUAGAGUAACUAGUGAAUUGCUCAAAACUGACAUUUCAUAUGACAGUUAUUCAGCUAAGAUUUCUUAUUAAAUCAGGUGCUUUUCUGAUUAAAAGCCACUAACAUUCCUUGUUUGUUUUCUGGGAUUCAUGGACAUUAGCACAUUUGUGCUAAUAUCUAAACAUUCUUUUAAUCUUCUCUUAGAUUCUGUGGGUUGUUUAAUUAAAUGAUCAAGAAAACUUUUAUUAGAGCAACUCAGAGAAAAUGUUUAGAGAAUUUACACAGCUUGUGAAAUCGGACUCCUGUCAUCAGAUCACCCAAGGGUUUUUGUGAAAUUACCCUCUUUUUUACAGUCCUUCAAAUGGUUAGUCCUAUGAUAGCGACUAAGGCAAAAUAAAGUGUUAUGCUUUAAAAAUUACAUCAAGUUUUGUUUUGUACAAUAUUUUAAUCUCAUCCUGGUGAUCAAUCACAUU